RNAcentral lists this ribosomal RNA (253 nucleotides) under uncultured bacterium. RNAcentral's name for it is "partial 16S ribosomal RNA". It matches the Rfam family "Bacterial small subunit ribosomal RNA", at positions 524 to 776 of the family's 1533-position model. The record is from RNAcentral.
UACGGAGGGGGCUAGCGUUGUUCGGAAUUACUGGGCGUAAAGCGCACGUAGGCGGCUUUGUAAGUUAGAGGUGAAAGCCUGGAGCUCAACUCCAGAAUUGCCUUUAAGACUGCAUCGCUUGAACGUCGGAGAGGUGAGUGGAAUUCCGAGUGUAGAGGUGAAAUUCGUAGAUAUUCGGAAGAACACCAGUGGCGAAGGCGGCUCACUGGACGACUGUUGACGCUGAGGUGCGAAAGCGUGGGGAGCAAACAGG